Molecule: ribosomal RNA, 253 nt
Filed under: uncultured bacterium
Lineage: Bacteria
Description: partial 16S ribosomal RNA
Rfam family: Bacterial small subunit ribosomal RNA
Source: RNAcentral
UACGUAGGUGGCAAGCGUUGUCCGGAAUUAUUGGGCGUAAAGCGCGCGCAGGCGGUUCUUUAAGUCUGAUGUGAAAGCCCACGGCUCAACCGUGGAGGGUCAUUGGAAACUGGAGAACUUGAGUACAGAAGAGGAAAGCGGAAUUCCACGUGUAGCGGUGAAAUGCGUAGAGAUGUGGAGGAACACCGAUGGCGAAGGCAACCCCCUGGGACGAUACUGACGCUGAGGCACGAAAGCGUGGGGAGCAAACAGG